Non-coding RNA from Parasteatoda tepidariorum (common house spider), 1111 nucleotides. The record is from RefSeq and is a predicted model, not a curated record. Lineage: Eukaryota; Metazoa; Arthropoda; Arachnida; Araneae; Theridiidae.
UUGACGUAGAAGUUGUUUUUAAAGUAAUUGCCUGUUGAAAUAAACUUUUGAGCUUGAACAGGGUAGAAAUAGGAAGCAUAAAGCUCUUGAAAUGAUAUUUGAAGUCAAAAUGAAUGUAUAAAUAAAUGUAAGACAUAUAAUUAAAAAUGAUUGUUUCCUAACUAAAACAGAUCGUAGUUAAAAGCUUUUCGUAAUAUGUCAGAUGCCCAAUUAGCUGGCGAAGAAGCUAAUCAACCAAACUUAGCUGUUGUUAAUGAAGUUAAUAAUGAAGAAUUAGUUGAUCCUCGAGUGCAAGUUGAACUUGAGCGUCUUAAUACUGCAACUGAUCUCAUUAAUAAACUUGAAAUAGAACUAGAUGAAGCACGGUCUAAUUUUAGACUGUUGUUGAGUGAAUCAUCUUUGAGAGGUAAUCAGUUAGCAAAGAAGCUUGGAUCAUGUGUAGAAAGAGCUAGGCCUUAUUAUGAGGCUAGAAUGCAUGCUAAACAGCUGCAAACACAAACUCAAAAAGCAGCUCUAAGAUAUGAAAGAGCAAGUAGUGCACACUCUGCUGCUAAAGAAAUGGUUUAUUUGGCUGAAGAAGGUUUAAAAAAGGAAGGAGGGUGCUUUGAUCCUGCAUGGCAAGAAAUGCUUAAUCAUGCCACACUCAGGGUACCGCGAGCCAUAACACUGCUGAUUAAUGAAUAUCUGAUAGUUUCUAGGCAGGAGAAGAUGGGGAAAAUCACAAGCACAUCUUGUUGAAAUUUCUUGGAACCUGGCUGUGGAUCAUUAUUCUCCAUUUCUCCUGUCGUAGCGAUAAUACUUUGUUGAAUGAAAUGCAGGAUAUUCUAAAAAAAUGAAUGAAUGGAAAAAAAGAACCUGUGUGACCAAAAGGUCUUUUUUUCUAUGUUCUGGAAAACUAAUUAUUAAGACUCUAUAGUUUGGAAAAAAAAUGUAGAACACCGGCUUCUCAAGGUACUGUGAAAUAUGUUACAACAGAUAGGUUAAUGAAGCUGAAAGUGAAAGAGUAUUAAGUCAACGAGAACACCAGAAGCUAUCACUUGCCUACAAUGAAGCUGAGAGAAUUGUCCAGCAACUGCACCAAGACCUCAAAAAAUCUAUCACUAAGUCAAGG